RNAcentral lists this ribosomal RNA (468 nucleotides) under uncultured bacterium. Its description in RNAcentral is "partial 16S ribosomal RNA". It matches the Rfam family "Bacterial small subunit ribosomal RNA", at positions 28 to 507 of the family's 1533-position model. The record is from RNAcentral.
GACGAACGCUGGCGGCGUGCUUAACACAUGCAAGUCGAACGGAAAGGCCCUGCUUUUGUGGGGUGCUCGAGUGACGAACGGGUGAGUAACACGUGAGUAACCUGCCCUUGACUUUGGGAUAACUUCAGGAAACUGGGGCUAAUACCGGAUAGGAGCUCCUGCUGCAUGGUGGGGGUGGGAAAGUUUCGGCGGUUGGGGAUGGACGCGCGGCUUAUCAGCUUGUUGGUGGGGUAGUGGCUUACCAAGGCUUUGGAGGGUAGCCGGCCUGAGAGGGUGACCGGCCCCAUUGGGCCUGCGAUACGGCCCAGACUCCUACGGGAGGCAGCAGUGGGGAAUAUUGCACAAUGGGCGGAAGCCUGAUGCAGCAACGCCGCGUGCGGGAUGACGGCCUUCGGGUUGUAAACCGCUUUCGCCUGUGACGAAGCGUGAGUGACGGUAAUGGGUAAAGAAGCACCGGCUAACUACGUG